This 265-nucleotide long non-coding RNA is filed under the name Lathyrus oleraceus (garden pea). Its description in RNAcentral is "Pisum sativum (pea) long non-coding RNA (PSAT_LNC035571)". Lineage: Eukaryota; Viridiplantae; Streptophyta; Magnoliopsida; Fabales; Fabaceae. The record is from RNAcentral.
AAAAAAAGCCUUAAGUGAUUUUACUCUUUUUUUUUUACUUUUUUUUUUAAUGUAUUUUUUAUGAUUAUUAUAUAUUGAUUUAAAUAUAGUAAACUUUGAUCAGAUAUUGUGCUUUUCAUUAUGUAUAUUUGCCCUAAUCCUUUAACAUUUGUUAAAAAAAAAAUUUGGUAUGUGGUUUGGCUGUUAUUCUCAUUUGGAUUUCGUUAAGCUUUGAUUCAGAAUCGAAUAUUGUAUAUGAGUGGUUAUUGUCUGAUUUAUUUUUCAC